UUUUCAGUUUACCUGCUGUCAGUAUUAUGGUAUAGAUUACGUACAGUAAUAGAUGAGUUGGGUGUAAGUAUACUUAGACAAAAAGGGGUUAAGGGCAUUUUGUUCAAUAUCUCUCAAUGAGUCAGGUGAAAGACAGGCCAGUGUCUGCAAACAUUUACAACGGCAGUCUAUUUGGCAUAAGGUUUGUGCUUCAUUUAGUAUGCAAUAGUUUCGUUGGACCACAGAAGUCAGUUUCUAAAUCCCAUCUGAGCCACACACGCAAAGUUGAGCUGACGUCAUAAACGUUUGCAAAGCACCUUGGGCUGAGGCAGGUGGAGGCCAUCCUCCUCAAGGGUAGGAUUGGCUAAUAGCAGGGCCAGAGACACACCUGUGAGUGUUACUGCUAAAGGGGAUUGGCUAUAGCCCGAAAAUUACACCUGUGGGGGUGGGGGAAGCUACUAUAUGUAAACCAAGCCGUUUACAAAUUCAGUCUCUCCGACCAUGAGCUUAAACAGGUCACAACGCCUCCUGUAACUUUGACAUCUUCAAGAGACAUAGGCUUCAGCAUUGACGUUAACUUUGCUCUAGUUGCAUCUACCUUCUAGAUGGGAUGCAGUCGGUUCCCAAAUUAAGAUGGUCUCCUUCCACCUGAAAGUGAGGCAUUCUGCAGCGAACAGGGCGUCGAACGUCGAGAAGAGGGAAGAGGAAGACGAGUCUCCAAGGCGGCACUACUGACUUACCGACAACGGUAUCUGGUUUCGAGUUCACGGGACCACUCUAAGGAAGAAACGGCAUUAUUUGGACAGUCUUCGCCAUCUUACGAGGCAGCAUUGGAUAUCAUCACUCUCUCUAAUACUGCCUGGUAAUGAUGAUGAUGGCUCUCCGCUGACUCCAGAAGAAACCACAGCUCACACCAAGGUGGUUAUCACCCCACCCAGCUUUAGUUAAAGAAUACUGGUCCGUUGGCUGUUAAACCAGACGUGCUGAAAGCUGUUUCCUCAUCCCCUCCCCCUGGGUUCUGGGUGCCUUUUGUGAUGGCAGCUAAGCUCUGAUUGGACAAGCUCGUUUUACCUGCGUGGCACAUCCUGCAACUGACAUAUGAGCUCACCUGUACAUGAUAAAAAUAGAGUUAGCGACAACCUACACUCUGCUGCUCCUCUUCCCAUUGCCAGGUUCUGCUUAUAUAUCUUUCUAAAUACUGUAGAUCACAUCUAUCCUGACAGUAUACGACAUUUAAAGACAUUUAUUACAUUGCCUGAGCAGAGCAAACACAUCAUACUAAAGAGAUCAGACCUUGGGAAAGUACCACUGUAAAACUGACAUCUAUAGCCUAUAUUAACUAUUUAAAUGUCUAUGCUUUAUAUCAGGAAACAACACAUACACAAUGUCCAACUUUUUUUACAACAUACUAUUUGGUUAAGGUGGAAGACUCAAAUAUUAAACCACGCCCAUGGGGGACGUUUUCAUUUAUGUGAGUCAUGUUUGUUAUUCAUGGCCUUUUUUUUUUAUAAGUGCGUGUUACAAAGUCAUGUCAUUUACCUACAUAAAGCGGCAGUACUUCAGGCUUUUCAUCUCUCCUUUUGUUCUCCUGUUUUCACCUCUGUUCUUUCAGACUUCAUUGUAAAUAUAAUUUUGGAUGACUACAGCAGAUGGCUUUAUUGCUCUUCAGUCACAGGAUCCAACUUUUCUUUCAUUUCUGUUUUAUAUCUAUUUAAAGCCUGCUGAUUGGCGUCUUACCAGACAUGGUUAGAUCUGAUUAUUUGUGUCUAAUACUGUCUGGUAAUGCCGUCGAUUACAUGGCAUCAGCAUCCAAAUGACAGAAGAAAGGAAAGAUGCUCCUAGGAGGUUAUUUUCAUUCCUUCUGUUUAUGCCAUACGAUGUCUUGGUGUUCUUUUUUUUUUAAAUUAACAAUAUUAUUAUUAAGGAAGUGAUAAGAAUGAAUCACUUAUAGAACGGUCUGAAUCAUUUUGCCAGAUUAGUCAGGACUUUCAAUUACGACAGACUGAGAUGUUGGUUUAAUCUGUACGAGGAACUAUGAACCUAACACUGGAAGACUGCUGCCAUUUAAAAUUCUCUUCCAUGUGUCAUGAGUCAGAGUUUCUCUCCUCCGCUUCAUGAGAGCUGUGAGUCAUGUUUGUCUUCCAUCAUCCCGUCUUCAUAUAUGUGUCGAGAGUUGCGUACCUUUCAAAAUAUAAUUACAUAAAGUGUAUAGCCUUCAUAUUAUGCAACAUUUGGAUAAAUAUGAACGUUGUGGUUGUUGCGGCAUAGAAGAAGCAUGUUCUCAUUGUGUUGCCAUGGUAACUGAAUUCCACAUAGUACACUGAGUACCAACCCUCCCCACCCACAAAAAAAAGACAGCUCAAUAUGAUGACUACAUGAUGAUAUAUUGUAUGAUGAUAUACAACGCAAAUGACUGUCUUCUCUGCGAUUACUGGAUUCAUUGGUUUAAUUUUGGAUGCAUGGAUUUGUAUUGUGCAAAAAAAUAAAUAAAUAAAUAAACAAAUAAAUAUAAUAGAUGUAAAAUCAAAA
Molecule: long non-coding RNA, 2508 nt
Organism: Tachysurus fulvidraco (yellow catfish)
Lineage: Eukaryota; Metazoa; Chordata; Actinopteri; Siluriformes; Bagridae
Exons: 3
Source: RefSeq, a predicted model, not a curated record